AACGCUAGCUACAGGCUUAACACAUGCAAGUCGAGGGGAAACGAUAUUGGAAGCCUGCUUCCGAUAGGCGUCGACCGGCGCACGGGUGAGUAACGCGUAUCCAACCUGCCCAUCACUUGGGGAUAACCUUGCGAAAGUAAGACUAAUACCCAAUGACGUCUCUAGAAGACAUCUGAAAGGGAUUAAAGAUUUAUCGGUGAUGGAUGGGGAUGCGUCUGAUUAGCUUGUUGGCGGGGUAACGGCCCACCAAGGCGACGAUCAGUAGGGGUUCUGAGAGGAAGGUCCCCCACAUUGGAACUGAGACACGGUCCAAACUCCUACGGGAGGCAGCAGUGAGGAAUAUUGGUCAAUGGACGAGAGUCUGAACCAGCCAAGUAGCGUGCAGGAAGACGGCCCUAUGGGUUGUAAACUGCUUUUAUAAGGGAAUAAAGUGAGUCUCGUGAGACUUUUUGCAUGUACCUUAUGAAUAAGGACCGGCUAAUUCCGUGCCAGCAGCCGCGGUAAUACGGAAGGUCCAGGCGUUAUCCGGAUUUAUUGGGUUUAAAGGGAGCGUAGGCCGGAGAUUAAGCGUGUUGUGAAAUGUAGAUGCUCAACAUCUGAACUGCAGCGCGAACUGGUUUCCUUGAGUACACACAAAGUGGGCGGAAUUCGUGGUGUAGCGGUGAAAUGCUUAGAUGUCACGAAGAACUCCGAUUG
This 696-nucleotide ribosomal RNA is filed under the name uncultured bacterium. RNAcentral describes it as "bacterial SSU rRNA". It matches the Rfam family "Bacterial small subunit ribosomal RNA", at positions 32 to 715 of the family's 1533-position model. The record is from RNAcentral.